Long non-coding RNA from Protopterus annectens (West African lungfish), 504 nucleotides. RefSeq lists it as uncharacterized. The record is from RefSeq and is a predicted model, not a curated record. Lineage: Eukaryota; Metazoa; Chordata; Ceratodontiformes; Protopteridae. The transcript is spliced from 2 exons.
UUUUCUCCAAUUGGUAGAUUUAUGUGUCAAUCAAACCAUAUUCGUGGAACAAGGAGGCCGGGUAAAUUUAUUUGGAUGGUGCAAUACACAUCCCGGACAAAAUUCAAUUAAGUAAACAUUGGGAGAACUUGACUAGCUGGCAGGAUGGAUGGAUGAACUGGAUGAAAGACACUCACUUCUAUAAUUGCAUGCCUCAUCAUUACACAGCAAGGCUUGGAAAAAGUGAUUAUGGAGAAAGACUAGAACAGAAAGCAUUGUGUCAGGCAAACAUCUAACCUAUGAUGACAGGAAAAGAUCCCAUCCAGGUCUGUUCAAUCAUCCAGAAGAAAAUUAAGAAAUCUUGAAGACAACAACAUGAAAAUGGACCCUGCACUGCUUAUGUCUGUUAACGUUGUAAUUAGUAUAAGAAAUAAACUAUAAUAAUAUUACAGAUCUAGAAAAAAAUGUGUUUGCGCAUUACAUUGUAAGAAGCUGUUAUAAAAUAAACACUGUCCAUUUAAUUUA